RNAcentral lists this ribosomal RNA (254 nucleotides) under uncultured bacterium. Its description in RNAcentral is "partial 16S ribosomal RNA". It matches the Rfam family "Bacterial small subunit ribosomal RNA", at positions 524 to 776 of the family's 1533-position model. The record is from RNAcentral.
UACGUAGGGUGCGAGCGUUGUUCGGAGUUAUUGGGCGUAAAGAGCUCGUAGGCGGUGUGUCACGUCGAUCGUGAAAACUUGGGGCUUAACUCUGAGCUUGCGGUCGAUACGGGCAUCACUGGAGUUCGGCAGGGGAGACUGGAAUUCCUGGUGUAGCGGUGAAAUGCGCAGAUAUCAGGAGGAACACCGGUGGCGAAGGCGGGUCUCUGGGCCGAUACUGACGCUGAGGAGCGAAAGCGUGGGGAGCGAACAGG